This 1031-nucleotide long non-coding RNA is filed under the name Dasypus novemcinctus (nine-banded armadillo). Its description in RNAcentral is "lncRNA (ENSDNOG00000051125.1)". The record is from RNAcentral. Lineage: Eukaryota; Metazoa; Chordata; Mammalia; Cingulata; Dasypodidae.
GAGCGGCCUGGGGCUGCAGCUCCGCACUCCUCCUCCACGGCGGCUCGAGUUUCCAGCGCUGAGUGUCGAUCACUGAACCUUUCAGAGCCCUAGGGAGCUGGGCGUGUCCCCGACGCUUUGAGCUCACAGCCUAACCUUCAACCCCAGACCAGCCUGGGAGCCGCGAAGCCUCUGGAGGACGGUGGAGGAGACAGGCUUUCCUGCAGGAAGAGGAGCUCCAGGUGGCCUUCGCCACGGGGAGGGGCUCCACCCCGCCCCCAGCCAGGGACGUUCCUUCUGACCCCACUCUCCCUGCGGUCCCGGCCACCUGGCAGACUGAGCUGGACACGCCCUCAUCUCGCCGAGGGGCAAACUGAGGCUCAGGCUCCAAGGCAGGUAGACGUGGCGCUAAGAACUCUUGCUCCUAAGGAAAAAAAAAAGAACUCUUGUUCUGGAAUCAGCUCAGACGCCUGGAUUCAAUUUGGAUUCUGCCACUUAAUAGCUGUCAUACUCAGCCGUUUCCCUACCUCUCUGAGCUCAGGCUGUAGAAAUGCCCCAUCUGAGGGUUCCUGGAGGUUAUGCUCACAACCCCUUUAGCACUGUGCCUGGAGCUGACCAUUAUGGCUGUGAAAGCAACCUGCCCCAGGCCACCUGUCAAACCGAGGUGGUAAAAAUGAAUUACAACAACAAAAAGAGGAGAACAAAAAAAUAAAAUAAAUCGAGUAAAUAAAAUAAAAUACAACACAACAACAAAAAACCCGAGGUGGUAGACUUGGGCCCAGAAUCCCCCUCUCCUUAGGGGACCCCAGCUCUUCCUGCUGUGGGGGAGAAGCCCCCAGGAACCCACGCUCUGGCUGGGUGCUUAUUUUGGGGAGAGGUCUGUGUUGCCAGCUGAUCCCACAGUCAUCUAGGUUUCGCUGCCAUGGGCUGGCUUCCUUGGGAUGGCUCCACCCUUCCUCCAAGCCUGGCCACACCUCAUCUCCCUUCAAACCCAAAGUCCAGGGUGGGGUGGGGGGAGUGGAGGGUGAUCUCAAACCUUGCUGUGGGAGUAC